Molecule: long non-coding RNA, 2852 nt
Organism: Oncorhynchus kisutch (coho salmon)
Lineage: Eukaryota; Metazoa; Chordata; Actinopteri; Salmoniformes; Salmonidae
Exons: 4
Source: RefSeq, a predicted model, not a curated record
GGUUUUCUAAUAAUCAAUUAGCCUUUUAAAAUGAUAAACUUUGAUUAGCUAACACUAGGACCCUGUCCUUCAAAGAUAAUUAAUUAAAAUCCAAAUAACUUCACAGAUCUUCAUUGUAAAGGGUUUAAACAAGAACAUCGACACCAACCUGAUGAGGCAGUCGACUACACAACCAGUCUCACCUCCACCCACCGCCACCCAAUCACAGCUCAAACAGUUUCAGAGCCAGGGGGCCAAGCACACAGCUUCCCCAGAGACAGCUGCCCCUAGCAUUGGAGAGUGUGGUGUGAAGAUUCCCUUCACCUGGACUCCAGAGGGGACAGAGGUGGGUGAGGGAGGUUUGGAAGGUGGAGUGACCACAGCAGCCAAACAUAGCGAGUCAAUGAAUAUGAACGAGGACAGGAAAGAGAAGGCCGGCCCACCAUCUAAAAGAGCUCACCUACAACUUCCAGAGAGCACAGCUGACGUGGACCCCCUGUCUCAGGGAGGUGCCAAUAUAGUUGGAGAUGGAGGAUGUGCAGCAGUGGCUGAGAGCACUGCAGACCUGGGACGAUAUCUCCACUGAGGAGAAACAGCGUUUACAGCAUUAUUACAGUCGUGCUGUGAGGGAGAUCCCAGGGGUCCUGCUGUGUUCCAUAGGCUCCAGAACAGAGGUGAGGGAGAUCCCAGGGGUCCUGCUGUGUUCCAUAGGCUCCAGAACAGAGGUGAGGGAGAAAAGGAGUUUCUCAGCCCAGACACUACUCACCCUGCUAGGCCUGCUCAAGGAGUUUAACCCCCAUUUGGCAACACUGCUGCUUUGCAAGGAGAGAACAGCAGACAGGGAGCUAAAGGUACAGAGUAGGAGAAAUAAGGGCAGUGGCAUGGUUACCAGUCUUUCAGUUUUAGCCAACAUGUUCUGCAAGACAACUGAGGUUGACUUAAGUGUGUUUGACUUAAGUUUGUUUAUGUGAUCCUGAGGGCUGAGAACGAACCCUUGUGGGGCCCCAGUUUUGAGGAUCAGCGGAGAUGUUUCCUACCCUCACCUCCUGGGGGCGGCCCGUCAAAGUCCAGGACCCAGUUGCACAGCAAGUGCACAGAGCACUUUGAAGAGAAGCUGUUUGAAAACAAAUGUCUUUGUUUUCACCCUCCUCUCUCUUUUUCUCUCCCCCCACCCUGUCUCCAGACAUCUCAGAGCUCCAUGACUGUCAGAAAUGUCAUCUGACUUUUCCCUCGUUGGAUGACCACUGGAAGCACAUCCAGGAGUGCCACCCCAAGGAGUUCCACCAGUGUCCUGAGUGCAACAAGAUGUUCACCAACCCUGUCCUACUGGAGAAACACAUAGCUGUGCACGCUGGGGGAACACCAUACCGCUGCAAGCUUUGCCAGAAGUCCUGCCAGAAGUCCACACAUUGGCCUAUAGAACACACACCUUUAUUCUCAUGCUUUACUAUUAAAGGAUGAGUUGGUAAAGCCUUGUGCUUGCAACGCCAGGGUAGUGGGUUCGAUUCCCAGGAACACCCAUAUGUAAAACGUAUGCACGCGUGACAAAGUUUCUUUGGAUAAAAGUGUCUGCUAAGUGGAAUAUAUUAUAUUACUUAUCAUAUCUUUCCGCACACAACAAAUGUCAGGCCUGUGGUAUCAUAACCGUACCAGCCACCCAGAGGUGUUUGCAGGACAGACCCACCGACAGCUCUAGUCUCUGAUGCAGUGCAGCGUAUGUUGUAAGUUCUUCCCUAGUGCCAGGAGCCUGGCUAAGCACCAGAGGAACCCAGGUGAGGACACCCACAGCUGGGGUGAGACCCAGGAAAGGCUUUCAGACCUAACCUACCCUGUCCAUGCUAUUACAUUACAACCACCCCCCCUUUUAUUUGCUUGGGUACCCAACUGACAUAUCUUCUUGUUGUUGUUGGUUUAGUGUUGUCCAUCCCUGUUAAGGAAUAUGCCAUUUGGGGUGUAUUAUGUAUUCCUUCCAAUCCCUUGUGUCUCCUAAAGGCAUGUUUGAUUCUGACGUGCUGCUGGUGGGGAAUCCAGACCUGCCAUCAGGAAAGAGCUGUGAUGUCUUACUGCUAUACUCCUAACAUACAGUUCUAUCUGUCUGUGGCCGUGUCUGCUCUCUGUGCAUGUGUAUUGAGCUCUUCUCCCCUGUAUCCUCCCAGACUCAUCAGUGGUGAAGUGCCUGUACUGUCCCAGCCUGUUCCCCCAGCGAGGCUGAGGUGCAGGAGCACGCCAGCACCGAGCAUUUCAGCCAGGAGGGGGCAGUGUUCAGCUGCUCUCUCUGCCAGCUGUAGCUCCAGGAGCACUUGCUCUCCUGCCACAUAGGGGCGCUAGAGGAGCAGGAGCAGGCCUCCAGAUCCCAGAUGGUGAUUGAGACAGAGGACACUGCUGGUGGGGCAGAACAAGUGAUCUCUAUGGACCAAUCCCAUCAGGUGUUUGUUGCCCUGGGAGACGGAGAGGAUGGUCUCUCAAGCACGGAGGUGAUGGUGGUUAACCUGGAGGACCUACUGAACGGAACCGUCACCUUUAUAUGUGGAGGUGACCUCUGACCCCUAGUCUCUACUUCCUGGAGAAGGAGGAACUGUCCUAGCAAUAGUGGCAGCUUGGAAUGAAUGAAACAAACUUGACACUGUCAAUGCCACUAGUUUUGUAUCCUGUAAUAGCUGUAAAUAUUGAGAUGGUGUGUACGCUUAUACACUAAGUGACAAAGCGUAACCUUUGAACCCUCAGGAUUGGUGUCUUUUUAUUAAUAAUCACUCUGUUAUUGCCCUGUGUAGAGCUGUGUAUGAAUCUUUAGUAUUUAUUUCCUUUUGAACUGGCGUGUGAAGCCUUGCUGUAUGAGUGUUGUACACGGUUGGUUGAUAAAUCUGUGAAAUCCA